GACGAACGCUGGCGGCGUGCUUAACACAUGCAAGUCGAACGGAAAGGCCCUGCUUUUGUGGGGUGCUCGAGUGGCGAACGGGUGAGUAACACGUGAGUCACCUGCCCUUGACUUUGGGAUAACUUCAGGAAACUGGGGCUAAUACCUGAUAGGUGCCCCUGCUGCAGGGUGGGGGUUGGAAAGUUUGGGCGGUUGGGGAUGGACUCGCGGCUUAUCAGCUUGUUGGUGGGGUAGUGGCUUACCAAGGCUUUGACGGGUAGCCGGCCUGAGAGGGUGACCGGCCACAUUGGGACUGAGAUACGGCCCAGACUCCUACGGGAGGCAGCAGUGGGGAAUAUUGCACAAUGGGCGGAAGCCUGAUGCAGCAACGCCGCGUGCGGGAUGACGGCCUUCGGGUUGUAAACCGCUUUCGCCUGUGACGAAGCGUGAGUGACGGUAAUGGGUAAAGAAGCACCGGCUAACUACGUG
Molecule: ribosomal RNA, 468 nt
Filed under: uncultured bacterium
Lineage: Bacteria
Description: partial 16S ribosomal RNA
Rfam family: Bacterial small subunit ribosomal RNA
Source: RNAcentral